This 221-nucleotide long non-coding RNA is filed under the name Elaeis guineensis (African oil palm). RNAcentral describes it as "long non-coding RNA (EGUI_LNC035164)". The record is from RNAcentral. Lineage: Eukaryota; Viridiplantae; Streptophyta; Magnoliopsida; Arecales; Arecaceae.
GUUGGGAUGCAGUCUCUUCCUCUUGCUAUCUCUGAACUUGAAGAUAAGGGACGUCUUGUAUUCGAUCAGCUCUGAGGAUUUAUCAUCAAAGAUGAGCUGGUUGCGACCAUUGCCAUGCCAGCAGUCUUAUUCUGCAUUGUGAUUGGCCCUACAUCCACUCCUGUUGGCAUUUGCCCUAUGCCUAAGAGUGAAGUAAUACACCUCCUCUCCUACUCCGUGUC